UACACUCCUGCGGGAGGCAGCAGUGGGGAAUUUUGGACAAUGGGCGAAAGCCUGAUCCAGCAAUGCCGCGUGAGUGAAGAAGGCCUUCGGGUUGUAAAGCUCUUUUGUCAGGGAAGAAACGGUGAAAGCUAAUAUCUUUUGCUAAUGACGGUACCUGAAGAAUAAGCACCGGCUAACUACGUGCCAGCAGCCGCGGUAAUACGUAGGGUGCAAGCGUUAAUCGGAAUUACUGGGCGUAAAGCGUGCGCAGGCGGUUUUGUAAGUCUGAUGUGAAAUCCCCGGGCUCAACCUGGGAAUUGCAUUGGAGACUGCAAGGCUAGAAUCUGGCAGAGGGGGGUAGAAUUCCACGUGUAGCAGUGAAAUGCGUAGAUAUGUGGAGGAACACCGAUGGCGAAGGCAGCCCCCUGGGUCAAGAUUGACGCUCAUGCACGAAAGCGUGGGGAGCAAACAGGAUUAGAUACCCUUGUAGUCCCA
Molecule: ribosomal RNA, 474 nt
Filed under: uncultured organism
Description: partial 16S ribosomal RNA
Rfam family: Bacterial small subunit ribosomal RNA
Source: RNAcentral